Molecule: transfer RNA, 100 nt
Organism: Pseudomassariella vexata
Lineage: Eukaryota; Fungi; Ascomycota; Sordariomycetes; Amphisphaeriales; Pseudomassariaceae
Rfam family: tRNA
About the family: Transfer RNA (tRNA) molecules are approximately 80 nucleotides in length. Their secondary structure includes four short double-helical elements and three loops (D, anti-codon, and T loops).
Source: Rfam
GGGAGUUUGGCCGAGUGGUUAAGGCGCUGUGUUUAGGUUAUUCCUGAUAAUCUAUUAACCGCAGUGGGAAACCGCGCAGGUUCGAGUCCUGCAGCUCUCA